UCGGAUAUGGUGUAAUGGCUAACAUUACCGCCUCUCAAGUGGUUCGCGGUAGCUCGGGGUUCGAUUCCCCGUAUCCGAA
RNAcentral lists this transfer RNA (79 nucleotides) under Dentipellis sp. KUC8613. It matches the Rfam family "tRNA". From Rfam's summary of the family: Transfer RNA (tRNA) molecules are approximately 80 nucleotides in length. Lineage: Eukaryota; Fungi; Basidiomycota; Agaricomycetes; Russulales; Hericiaceae. The record is from Rfam by way of RNAcentral.